RNAcentral lists this unclassified non-coding RNA (244 nucleotides) under Hevea brasiliensis (rubber tree). Lineage: Eukaryota; Viridiplantae; Streptophyta; Magnoliopsida; Malpighiales; Euphorbiaceae. The record is from RNAcentral.
GAGAGAGAGGGAGAGAGAGAGAUAGUCGACGAAAGGCGUUAUCCGCAGUGACGGCCACACACCUCACUCCCGCAUUCCCUUCUCGCCACGUGUCCUACGAAACUUCCGUUUUUACUAGAUAGCCUCGUCCCCACCAUAUACCCGCCCACACACGCUCUCUCCCUUAUCGCUUUCGUAUGUAUCCACUGCAAGAGCUGGCUGCUCCUCGAAUCCAGCGAAUCUCACCUCUGCUAAUCCUUUUUAU